RNAcentral lists this microRNA (22 nucleotides) under Xenoturbella bocki. RNAcentral describes it as "Xbo-Mir-22-P2e_3p (mature (guide))". Lineage: Eukaryota; Metazoa; Xenacoelomorpha; Xenoturbellidae. The record is from RNAcentral.
UCAGCUCCAUGUCUGGUGAGGU